AAGUAGGGGAUCGCAAGACCUUGCGCUCUUUGAGCGGCCGAUGCCUGAUUAGCUAGUUGGUGGGGUAAGGGCCUACCAAGGCGACGAUCAGUAGUUGGUCUGAGAGGACGACCAGCCACACUGGGACUGAGACACGGCCCAGACUCCUACGGGAGGCAGCAGUGGGGAAUUUUGGACAAUGGGCGAAAGCCUGAUCCAGCAAUGCCGCGUGAGUGAAGAAGGCCUUCGGGUUGUAAAGCUCUUUCAGUCGAGAAGAAAAGGUCGCGACUAAUAAUCUCUACUCAUGACGGUAUCGACAGAAGAAGCACCGGCUAACUACGUGCCAGCAGCCGCGGUAAUACGUAGGGUGCGAGCGUUAAUCGGAAUUACUGGGCGUAAAGGGUGCGCAGGCGGCUUUGUAAGUCAGAUGUGAAAUCCCCGGGCUUAACCUGGGAAUUGCGUUUGAAACUACAUGGCUAGAGU
Molecule: ribosomal RNA, 462 nt
Filed under: uncultured ammonia-oxidizing beta proteobacterium
Lineage: Bacteria; Pseudomonadati; Pseudomonadota; Betaproteobacteria
Description: bacterial SSU rRNA
Rfam family: Bacterial small subunit ribosomal RNA
Source: RNAcentral